Molecule: long non-coding RNA, 454 nt
Filed under: Gallus gallus (chicken)
Lineage: Eukaryota; Metazoa; Chordata; Aves; Galliformes; Phasianidae
Description: lncRNA (ENSGALG00010003664.1)
Source: RNAcentral
GUGGGCUAUGGGGUCAGUUAUGGGGUGGGCUAUGUGGUGGGCUAUGGGGUCAGUUAUGGGGUGGGCUAUGGGGUCGGUUAUGGGGUGGGCUAUGGGGUGGGUUAUGGGGUGGGUUAUGGGGUGGCGCCGCAUGCAGACGUGGGGCGGCCAUUGAAUCCCUUUAUUGCAGUGCACCCCGCGGUGCUCCGUGGUACAAAACGGCCCCCCCAAAUCCCCCCCCACCCCAACACCUUCUGAACCCCACCCCAAAAAUAGGACCCCCACCCCCCCCCCCACAUCCGGGGACCCCCAUCGGAACCCCCCCCGUAUGAAGGGGGGAGCGAUGGGGGGGUCAAUGUUGGGGGGCGAUGGGGGGGGUCAAUGGGGGUCAAUGGGGGUUAAUGGGGGGUCAUUGGGGGGGGGGUCAAUGUGGGGGGGUCAAUGGGUGUUAAUGGGGGUCAAUGGGGGUUAAUGG